This 389-nucleotide ribosomal RNA is filed under the name Haptolina sp. Its description in RNAcentral is "partial small subunit ribosomal RNA". It matches the Rfam family "Eukaryotic small subunit ribosomal RNA", at positions 582 to 975 of the family's 1831-position model. The record is from RNAcentral. Lineage: Eukaryota; Haptophyta; Prymnesiales; Prymnesiaceae.
AUUCCAGCUCCAAUAGCGUAUAUUAAAGUUGUUGCAGUUAAAACGCUCGUAGUCGGAUUUCGGGGCCUGCCUGCCGGUCUGCCGAUGGGUAUGCACUGGCAGGCGCGUCCUUCCUUCCGGAGACUGUCCCUACUCUUAACUGAGCGGGGUCGGGAGACGGAUCGUUUACUUUGAAAAAAUCAGAGUGUUUCAAGCAGGCAGCUCGCUCUUGCAUGGAUUAGCAUGGGAUAAUGAAAUAGGACUUUGGUGCUAUUUUGUUGGUUUCGAACACCGAAGUAAUGAUUAACAGGGAUAGUCGGGGGCAUUCGUAUUCAAACGACAGAGGUGAAAUUCUUGGACCGUUUGAAGACGAACUAUGGCGAAAGCAUUUGCCAAGAAUGUUUUCAUCG